Molecule: ribosomal RNA, 463 nt
Filed under: uncultured bacterium
Lineage: Bacteria
Description: partial 16S ribosomal RNA
Rfam family: Bacterial small subunit ribosomal RNA
Source: RNAcentral
GAUGAACGCUGACAGAAUGCUUAACACAUGCAAGUCUUUGGCGAAGCUGUGCUUGCACAGCCUAGCCAAGGCGGACGGGUGAGUAACGCGUCAGGAACUUGCCCUGCAGUCAGGGAUAACAGACGGAAACGACUGAUAAGACCUGGUAAAGUCAGGCGGACUCAUGUCCAGCCUGAUGAAAAGAGAUGCUGCAGGAGAGCCUUGCGUCCUAUUAGCUUGUUGGUGGGGUAACGGCCCACCAAGGCGAUGAUAGGUAGCCGGCCUGAGAGGGUGGACGGCCACAAGGGGACUGAGAUACGGCCCUUACUCCUACGGGAGGCAGCAGUGGGGAAUAUUGGACAAUGGGGGCAACCCUGAUCCAGCAAUUCUGUGUGCACGAUGAAGGUUUUCGGAUUGUAAAGUGCUUUCAGCAGGGAAGAAAAAAAUGACGGUACCUGCAGAAGAAGCGACGGCUAAAUACGUG